RNAcentral lists this ribosomal RNA (459 nucleotides) under uncultured bacterium. RNAcentral's name for it is "partial 16S ribosomal RNA". It matches the Rfam family "Bacterial small subunit ribosomal RNA", at positions 338 to 795 of the family's 1533-position model. The record is from RNAcentral.
CCUACGGGAGACAGCAGUGAGGAAUAUUGGUCAAUGGUCGGGAGACUGAACCAGCCAAGCCGCGUGAGGGAUGAAGGUACAGAGUAUCGUAAACCUCUUUUGUCAGGGAACAAAGGCGGGGACGUGUCCCCGGAUGAGUGUACCUGAAGAAAAAGCAUCGGCUAACUCCGUGCCAGCAGCCGCGGUAAUACGGAGGAUGCGAGCGUUAUCCGGGUUUAUUGGGUUUAAAGGGUGCGCGGGCGGUCUGUUAAGCUAGCGGUAAAAGCCCGGGGCUCAACCCCGGCCCGCCGUUGAAACUGGCAGUCUCGAGUUGGAGAGAAGUAUGCGGAAUGUGUGGUGUAGCGGUGAAAUGCAUAGAUAUCGCGCAGAACUCCGAUUGCGAAGGCAGCAUGCCGGCUCCACACUGACGCUGAGGCACGAAAGCGUGGGUAUCGAACAGGAUUAGAUACCCGGGUAGUC